This 465-nucleotide ribosomal RNA is filed under the name uncultured bacterium. Its description in RNAcentral is "partial 16S ribosomal RNA". It matches the Rfam family "Bacterial small subunit ribosomal RNA", at positions 28 to 507 of the family's 1533-position model. The record is from RNAcentral.
GACGAACGCUGGCGGCGUGCUUAACACAUGCAAGUCGAACGCUGAACCCGCUUCGGUGGGGGAUGAGUGGCGAACGGGUGAGUAGCACGUGGGCAACCUGCCCCCGGCUCUGGGAUAACUCCAAGAAAUUGGGGCUAAUACCGGAUGUGACCGCUGGCCGCAUGGUCUGGUGGUGGAAAGGGUUUCCGGCUGGGGAUGGGCCCGCGGCCUAUCAGCUUGUUGGUGGGGUAGUGGCCUACCAAGGCGACGACGGGUAGCCGGCCUGAGAGGGUGACCGGCCACACUGGGACUGAGACACGGCCCAGACUCCUACGGGAGGCAGCAGUGGGGAAUAUUGCGCAAUGGGCGGAAGCCUGACGCAGCGACGCCGCGUGGGGGAUGACGGCCUUCGGGUUGUAAACCUCUUUCAGCAGGGACGAAGCGCAGGUGACGGUACCUGCAGAAGAAGCACCGGCCAACUACGUG